GCGACCGGCGCACGGGUGCGUAACGCGUAUGCAACCUACCUCGUACUGGGAGAUAGCCCGAAGAAAUUCGGAUUAAUACCCCAUAGUACUUUUAGAUGGCAUCAUUUGAAAGUUAAAGGUUACGGUACGAGAUGGGCAUGCGUCCCAUUAGCUAGAUGGUAAGGUAACGGCUUACCAUGGCGACGAUGGGUAGGGGGCCUGAGAGGGUGAUCCCCCACACUGGUACUGAGACACGGACCAGACUCC
Molecule: ribosomal RNA, 246 nt
Filed under: uncultured bacterium
Lineage: Bacteria
Description: partial 16S ribosomal RNA
Rfam family: Bacterial small subunit ribosomal RNA
Source: RNAcentral